Long non-coding RNA from Clarias gariepinus (North African catfish), 455 nucleotides. RefSeq lists it as uncharacterized. The transcript has 3 exons. Lineage: Eukaryota; Metazoa; Chordata; Actinopteri; Siluriformes; Clariidae. The record is from RefSeq and is a predicted model, not a curated record.
UCAUACGCGGCUUAAAAUGCAGACGGGUUAUAACAGAAGGGGAAUUAGAAAUAAAGAUGACACUGGUUUAAUGAAUAAAGUAUAGCUGUUAUAUUUUGGAGUUUAGGUGGAAAGUUUAACGAAUUUCUAAGUGUGGAAACGGCUGUAAAUACAUACAUAAAAUGAACAACGGAAUCCGGAGAAGAAGAGAAGAGAAUAUUCAGUGUCUUAUGUCAUAUUUGCUUUUCUUCCUCGUCUGUCUCAGACCUUCAUCAUCAGGUGAUCAACCUCAAAGAGCUCAAGUCGAUGAAAGUACUUUCGGAGACUGUAAUGAGCAAAUUUUUUUGCCACCCCCCUACACGACUUGGAUUGGCUCUCACAACAUCACACUCAGCUGGAUCCCUCUGAACUGUACCGACGGUGUGGUGUACAUUCCCCAGUGGACAGGGCCUACACAAUCUGGGGUUUGGACACAA